Molecule: long non-coding RNA, 619 nt
Filed under: Phoenix dactylifera (date palm)
Lineage: Eukaryota; Viridiplantae; Streptophyta; Magnoliopsida; Arecales; Arecaceae
Description: long non-coding RNA (PDAC_LNC020526)
Source: RNAcentral
AGCUAAAAGGAGCCACCCGACUUUUAUUAAAAUAGAUAAAAGAAAUUACAAUUUGGAAGAGAGAACAAGAUCAAUUACAAAGAAAUCCUUGAUUUUUCUUAUGUAAACAUUGGUAAAGCCAUCAGUCUUAGCUGGAACAAGGAAAGCCACAUUAUCAACUUUGAACUCCUUAAAAUUAUAACUAAAUGGCAUCUAUUUUAAACAACCUGAUUAAAUUUGUACCCGAAGACAAGUGAAUCAUCUCAAUAGGAAAAGAUCUCAGUAUAAAACUGCCUCAAUGGGAAUGAAAGACUCCAUUAAUCUUAUUUUCAGAAGCUAAACUUUCUUGGACACGUCUAUGAAUACCACACUACUAAGAAAUCUAGUCUCAUAUGGUUGCUCAAUGGAACCAAAGCAAUCCCUUUAACAUAUCACCAAUCCUUCAUCCAUUUAUUAUUCAAUAUCAAGAAGAAUUCUGUUUAAGAAUUCUCAAGAAAAUUGGAAAAAAAAAAUCAAGUCUUUCUCCCAUAUAUCAAACAGUAAAGAAAUCCCAAGCAACCCCGCAAUGAGAGAAGGGAAUAAAAAUCAUGUUUUCGCCAGUUACAUACACAUUGACAAAUAAAUAAAAAUUGAAACUUUC